RNAcentral lists this ribosomal RNA (250 nucleotides) under uncultured bacterium. RNAcentral's name for it is "partial 16S ribosomal RNA". It matches the Rfam family "Bacterial small subunit ribosomal RNA", at positions 57 to 305 of the family's 1533-position model. The record is from RNAcentral.
GCAAGUCGAGGGGUAACAGGAAAGCUUGCUUUUGCUGACGACCGGCGCACGGGUGCGUAACGCGUAUGCAACCUACCUCAUACUGGAGGAUAGCCCUUGGAAACGAUGAUUAAUACUCCAUGGUAUCAUGAAUUCGCAUGUUUUUAUGAUUAAAGUUUUUCGGUAUGAGAUGGGCAUGCGUCCCAUGAGCUAGGGGGUGAGGUAACGGCUCACCAAGGCGACGAUGGGUAGGGGGCCUGAGAGGGGGAGC